This 1343-nucleotide ribosomal RNA is filed under the name Acinetobacter baumannii. RNAcentral describes it as "partial 23S ribosomal RNA". It matches the Rfam family "Bacterial large subunit ribosomal RNA", at positions 1604 to 2925 of the family's 2925-position model. The record is from RNAcentral. Lineage: Bacteria; Pseudomonadati; Pseudomonadota; Gammaproteobacteria; Moraxellales; Moraxellaceae.
GCUUCCAGGAAAAGUCUCUAAGCUUCAGUUACACAGGAAUCGUACCCGAAACCGACACAGGUGGUCAGGUCGAGUAGACCAAGGCGCUUGAGAGAACUCUGCUGAAGGAACUAGGCAAAAUGGUACCGUAACUUCGGGAGAAGGUACGCUGUUGUUGGUGAUGGAACUCGCUUCCUGAGCUGACGACAGCCGCAGAAACCAGGCCGCUGCAACUGUUUAUUAAAAACAUAGCACUCUGCAAACACGAAAGUGGACGUAUAGGGUGUGAUGCCUGCCCGGUGCUGGAAGGUUAAUUGAUGGGGUUAGCGUAAGCGAAGCUCUUGAUCGAAGCCCCAGUAAACGGCGGCCGUAACUAUAACGGUCCUAAGGUAGCGAAAUUCCUUGUCGGGUAAGUUCCGACCUGCACGAAUGGCAUAAUGAUGGCGGCGCUGUCUCCAGCAGAGGCUCAGUGAAAUCGAAAUCGCUGUGAAGAUGCAGUGUACCCGCGGCUAGACGGAAAGACCCCGUGAACCUUUACUGCAGCUUGACACUGAACUUUGACCUUACUUGUGUAGGAUAGGUGGGAGGCUUUGAAGCUGGAACGCUAGUUCCAGUGGAGCCGUCCUUGAAAUACCACCCUGGUAAUGUUGAGGUUCUAACUCUGUCCCGUGAUCCGGGACGAGGACCGUGUCUGGUGGGUAGUUUGACUGGGGCGGUCUCCUCCUAAAGAGUAACGGAGGAGUACGAAGGUGCGCUCAGCGUGGUCGGAAAUCACGCGUAGAGUAUAAAGGCAAAAGCGCGCUUAACUGCGAGACCCACAAGUCGAGCAGGUACGAAAGUAGGUCUUAGUGAUCCGGUGGUUCUGUAUGGAAGGGCCAUCGCUCAACGGAUAAAAGGUACUCUGGGGAUAACAGGCUGAUACCGCCCAAGAGUUCAUAUCGACGGCGGUGUUUGGCACCUCGAUGUCGGCUCAUCUCAUCCUGGGGCUGAAGCAGGUCCCAAGGGUAUGGCUGUUCGCCAUUUAAAGAGGUACGCGAGCUGGGUUUAGAACGUCGUGAGACAGUUCGGUCCCUAUCUACCGUGGGCGCUGGAAAUUUGAGAGGAUCUGCUCCUAGUACGAGAGGACCAGAGUGGACGAACCUCUGGUGUACCGGUUGUGACGCCAGUCGCAUCGCCGGGUAGCUAUGUUCGGAAGGGAUAACCGCUGAAAGCAUCUAAGCGGGAAGCCUACCUCAAGAUAAGAUUUCCCUAGGACUUUAUGUCCUCUAAAGAGCCGUUCGAGACUAGGACGUUGAUAGGUUGGAUGUGGAAGCAUAGUGAUAUGUGAAGCUGACCAAUACUAAUUGCUCGUGAGGCUUGACUAU